Molecule: transfer RNA, 76 nt
Filed under: Acidobacteriota bacterium
Lineage: Bacteria; Pseudomonadati; Acidobacteriota
Description: Acidobacteria bacterium (groundwater metagenome) tRNA-Thr
Rfam family: tRNA
About the family: Transfer RNA (tRNA) molecules are approximately 80 nucleotides in length. Their secondary structure includes four short double-helical elements and three loops (D, anti-codon, and T loops).
Source: RNAcentral
GCCCGAGGAGCUUGGUCGGUUAAGCCCCCGCUCGGUAGGCGGGAGAACACCGGUUCGAUCCCGGUCUCGGGCUCCA